ACCCGUUCGAUCAUCGGCGUUAAGCAACAUCGAGCCUGGUCAGUACCUAGAUGAGGGACCACUUGGGAAUACCAGGUGCUAUAA
Molecule: non-coding RNA, 84 nt
Organism: Acanthosepion pharaonis
Lineage: Eukaryota; Metazoa; Mollusca; Cephalopoda; Sepiida; Sepiidae
Source: the annotation of a GenBank genome assembly